RNAcentral lists this non-coding RNA (67 nucleotides) under Chitinophaga costaii. Lineage: Bacteria; Pseudomonadati; Bacteroidota; Chitinophagia; Chitinophagales; Chitinophagaceae. The record is from RNAcentral.
AAACAGAUUUACGGUGAGAAGUCAGCCGAGGCUAUAGUACAGAGGGAUCGACACCUUCUGGAAGGGC